UCCUUGAACCAAUUUUCCUAAUUUUUUUAACACAACAACUCCAUGUGCAUGACAAUAUCAUUUCUUUUGACUGACAAAAUGUAGGACUUCAGUCUCAUCUUUUAACUGGGUUGUGGGAUUACAUAUAGACAGCUUCAGGACUUUUGCUUUGUGUUUAGAAACGUCCUCAUUAAGAUCCAAUCCAGGAUGAACUUCUAUAUGUGAACGCUCAGAACGUAUGGUUUAACUGUGUGGCCAUGGCCAUGCUAAAAACUUGUCACUUGGAAAAGAGGCUCUAUCUCGAAACUUCUGUAUGCCGCCACUGAAAAACCUAUAUGAUAAAGGUGUCCUUGUAGAUCUAUUAGCCAUUUUACUUGUUGCCACGUGAUCCCAAACCCAGAUCUUAUUCUACAUCUCUGAUCUAAGAGCUCAUCGGGCUUCCUGUAUCCAUUCCCACUAACUUUAACUUUCCCACUAAGGUGGUACUCUCCUCAACAGAGGAGGCAACAAAUUAAAAGAAGAAGAUUUGAUUUCAAUGAUUUGGCGCCAAUUAGCGGAUUUCAGUUCACUUCCGUAAUUCGGUCAGAGCAGUCGAGCACCACGGAACUCGGGAACUUGGGUUCAGCUUUUAGCAGUAUUUUACCCGUCUAGGAAGGCAUAAAUAAGAUGGAAUCAAGCACGAAAAAACCUUUUACUUAGUCUUACUAUAGUGAAGUAAAUAAAAUAGGGAUUGUUAAGUCAUGUAUUCAACCAGACCACACCCUCACCAUGUCUUCAGAUCAGGUUUCCUAUCUCUAAUGUUUGUGUUGGACUCUCAAGGUUUUAAAAAGAAUUGAAAGACCAUUCAAUGAAAGAUCUCCUAGAAACUCAUGAUAUAUUGGUACCAGCUAAAAUGGAUUUCUCAGUAUAUUAGAUGUCAGCUAUUGUAUGAAUGAAGAGAGGGAGAGAAUGGUAGCACCAAUUGUAGAAUUUAAAGAGAGCAAUAAUGGA
Long non-coding RNA from Amphimedon queenslandica, 969 nucleotides. RefSeq lists it as uncharacterized. The record is from RefSeq and is a predicted model, not a curated record. The transcript is spliced from 3 exons. NCBI's taxonomy places the organism in Eukaryota, Metazoa, Porifera, Demospongiae, Haplosclerida, Niphatidae.